This 241-nucleotide ribosomal RNA is filed under the name uncultured bacterium. Its description in RNAcentral is "partial 16S ribosomal RNA". It matches the Rfam family "Bacterial small subunit ribosomal RNA", at positions 80 to 339 of the family's 1533-position model. The record is from RNAcentral.
UCAAGUGUGCAGGAGCGGCGGACGGGUGAGUAACACGUUGGAAUCUGCCCCAAACUGAGGGAUAAGCCCGAGAAAUCGGGUCUAAUACCGCAUACGGUCUUCGGAUCAAAGCUUCGGCGGUUUGGGAGGAUCCUGCGUCCGAUUAGUUAGUUGGUGAGGUAAUGGCUUACCAAGACGAUGAUCGGUAGCUGGUCUGAGAGGAUGAUCAGCCACACUGGAACUGAGACACGGUCCAGACUUC